ACACACACACACACACACCCACACACACACACACCCACACACGCACACCCCCACACACACUCAAGCACAUACUUGCACACACAUCCCUGGGGUCCUGCAAAUUUACUGCCAAAAUGAGGGAAUUAUCAAUCUCCCACCUUUUCUGGUAGACAAAAAUUGUUUGUCUGAUCACUGAUGGAUUAGCUGGACCAUUGAAAGGGAGGUAAUUGUUUAAGUCUUGUUCCAAUCUCUUCACACCAACAUUUGAAAUCUAACCAGUGGCCACAGUUUUGUUCAUAAUUAACUAAAAUAUCUCUCUAGUCUCUACCAAUAUUCUUGCACCUAUAUAUUUUAGAUUGUGAAGGUAUAGAGAACUUUGAGUUAUUAGGCUAUCAAAUAAGUAAAAAAUUCUUGAGAGCUGAUGAUGAUAGCAACAUGAAUUCUUAUUGUAAGCAUGUCAGAGUUGAUGUAUGCCUCAUCGUAUCAUCACCAAGAAAAUGGGUCAUUCAAAUAUGGUUGUUAACCAGAACCAAAGAUGGUAUAAAGACCUAAAUAUGUUUGAAUGAUGAAUGAAUUUCAAUGUAAAAGAUGGAGAGUCGACUCCAUAUAAUGUGGAAGGAAACCUUUAGUCUCGACUGAUAAAAUUAUAUCAUAGAAAAAUUAUCCAAUUAAAAUUUUCAUGGGAGUUUUGUUCACUGUACUAAUGAGACUGAUACUACAUUAGUUUGCAGUUUCACUACAUUUAUGCAUGAGAAUCACAAUUUGUCCCUCAGUUGCCAAUAUCAUUACAUAUGUACUGGUGUGUGUUUUGUGUAUGUGUGUAGGCUUUGCAUAAUUGCAUGUAAAGGAUGUGCUUGAGUGAGUUCAUUUUUUGCAUCGUGGAAGAACUAGUUUCUGAAACAUGCAUUGACUUUCUACCAGAAUGUACAGUGUUUAAAAAAGCAAGCGAGCAGACACCUUGUAUCUGAAUGGUGCAAAAUCCAUUUCUUUGUAGCUUUUAAAAGUUAGCCUCAUGAACCUUUAGAACAAAAAAAGACAAAUGGCUGGUAGUGUUAACGCCACUCCGUUCUAUUCCUAAUAAGCGGCUUUUCCUGUUUUAUUGCUGUUUUGCUAUAACAUAACCAAUGUCUCCACUUUACUUCUUUUUUAGUCAUAUCUGUGUUAUGUAUCGGUUAGGAUGCUGGUUCUGUCUAGUCAUAUUGCAGUUGUGUUUUUUUUUUUUUGAUAUUCUAUUUAGUUGUGUUAUUUGUUAUGAAUUGGUCUUUAUGACUUAGAAAAAUGGAAGAGAAUGUUUAAAAUACAAUCGGACUAAGAGCAAGCCUGGACCUAAAAUACAAUCGGACUAAGGGCAAGCCUGGACCCUUCACUGGGUAUAAAUGCUUGGAAAUGUGGAUGUUUAGGUCAAUGUGAUGAAUUUGAAUAAGCGUGCUUUUUACUAAUGCAAGUUGUGUUGAUGCUAUAGAUAAACAAGCAUGCUUUCUCUGGCGGUCAAGAUUCUGAGGAGAAGCACAGAAAAUAUGGAGCAAAUUUAGAGGUAGAUAUACCAAUCAAAUAUUUAAGUUUUUUCCUGGAGGAUGACGAUGAGCUUGAACACAUAAAAAAGGAGUAUGCUGCGGGACGCAUGCUAACAGGAGAGGUGAAGAAGCGUCUUGCUGAGGUUUUGACUGACUUGGUUGAAAGACAUCGUUUGGCGCGGUCUGCAGUGACUGAUGAAAUGGUGGAUGCAUUUAUGGCGGUGAGACCUCUUCCCAAUAUGCUCGACUGAAAAGUGGAGGUAACGCAGAUACAGGCUUUUCUUUGAAUGAAAGAAUUUGUCAUUGCUUCAAAUUAAAUUAAAUUCAGGGUGUGCUUGUGCAGAAUCAUUACAUUGAAGUGGCAGUUUUGAAUAGUACAGUGAGUUCUUUUUCUACAUUAAUUAUAGAGAAGAGAUAUUUAUUUCAAAUAAAAACAAUUUCAUUAUUUUUUUGUCAAAACUUAUAUUAGCUGCUGUGGUUGGCCAAUGGCAUGUUUUUCCAUGGUUCUGGAUGAUAAUAGCCAAGGCAAAGGUCACCAUUUCCUUUAGCAUGGUCUUGGAGGGAUUGAAAAAUCUCAUGAACUAACUCAUCCCAUUUGCUUUUGUGUUAAUGACCGAAAAAAGUUGGUCAAAUUCGUAAUGGAAGAUAAUUUCUAUUUUUGAAGCCAAAUUUGUAUGGAAGUUAAUUUUGUUUUAUAAAUUAGUAUUAACUAUAACCAAAAUAUGUUUUAGAACUUCUACAUUAUUGGCUUGAUAUAUAUAU
Molecule: unclassified non-coding RNA, 2255 nt
Filed under: Hevea brasiliensis (rubber tree)
Lineage: Eukaryota; Viridiplantae; Streptophyta; Magnoliopsida; Malpighiales; Euphorbiaceae
Source: RNAcentral